GGAUCCAGACUUUGAUCCUGGUCAGGAUGAACGCUAGCUACAGGCUUAACACAUGCAAGUCGAGGGGAAACCGACAUCGAAAGCUUGCUUUUGAUGGGCGUCGACCGGCGCACGGGUGAGUAACGCGUAUCCAACCUGCCCAUCACUUGGGGAUAACCUUGCGAAAGUAAGACUAAUACCCAAUGAUAUCUCUAGAAGACAUCUGAAAGAGAUUAAAGAUUUAUCGGUGAUGGAUGGGGAUGCGUCUGAUUAGCUUGUUGGCGGGGUAACGGCCCACCAAGGCGACGAUCAGUAGGGGUUCUGAGAGGAAGGUCCCCCACAUUGGAACUGAGACACGGUCCAAACUCCUACGGGAGGCAGCAGUGAGGAAUAUUGGUCAAUGGACGAGAGUCUGAACCAGCCAAGUAGCGUGCAGGACGACGGCCCUAUGGGUUGUAAACUGCUUUUAUAAGGGAAUAAAGUGAGAGUCGUGACUCUUUUUGCAUGUACCUUAUGAAUAAGGACCGGCUAAUUCCGUGCCAGCAGCCGCGGUAAUACGGAAGGUCCGGGCGUUAUCCGGAUUUAUUGGGUUUAAAGGGAGCGUAGGCCGGAGAUUAAGCGUGUUGUGAAAUGUAGACGCUCAACGUCUGCACUGCAGCGCGAACUGGUUUCCUUGAGUACGCACAAAGUGGGCGGAAUUCGUGGUGUAGCGGUGAAAUGCUUAGAUAUCACGAAGAACUCCGAUUGCGAAAGGCAGCUCACUGGAGCGCAACUGACGCUGAAGCUCGAAAGUGCGGGUAUCGAACAGGAUUAGAUACCCUGGUGGUCCGCACGGUAAACGAUGGAUGCCCGCUGUUGGUCUGAAUAGGUCAGCGGCCAAGCGAAAGCAUUAAGCAUCCCACCUGGGGAGUACGCGGCAACGGUGAAACUCAAAUGGCAUUGACGG
RNAcentral lists this ribosomal RNA (925 nucleotides) under uncultured bacterium. Its description in RNAcentral is "bacterial SSU rRNA". It matches the Rfam family "Bacterial small subunit ribosomal RNA", at positions 1 to 916 of the family's 1533-position model. The record is from RNAcentral.